Molecule: RNA transcript, 4068 nt
Organism: Bicyclus anynana (squinting bush brown)
Lineage: Eukaryota; Metazoa; Arthropoda; Insecta; Lepidoptera; Nymphalidae
Gene name: ribosome-binding protein 1
Exons: 20
Source: RefSeq, a predicted model, not a curated record
UCGGUGUCGUCCAUUCUAAUUUCCAUUUUCCAAUUCAUUUUGUUUCAUAAUUCGUUGUUAUUUCGUCCGUUAGCGAUCGUUUGUCGGAAUUAAUUAAUAACUUUGUGAACUUGUUUUUCUGUUUAUUUCAUCAAUUGAUUGUAUUACUUUCUAAAGUGCAUAGUGUCUGCAAUUGCUUAGGUCAACACAUUUUUCUGCGAAUUGUGCUUGCAGCAGCUUUCUGAUGGAGCUGCAGGCAUUAGUAGUGCUGGGUGGUGUGGGGCUGGUGGGAGUUGCUGUGCUACUGCUCAUGGGGCUCUUCUCCUCGUCGGGGACCAGCUAUGAGGAAGCCAUAGCUCAGCAGAGGCGAGCGACCAGUGAACUUCUGGCUUUAGCUGACAAUAAGAACAAGUCUAAAAAGACCAACAAGAAGGCUAAUAAAAAGUUAGCAAAGAAGGAAAAGAAAGAAGCAGCUGCUGUCACAGGUAGUGAGCCUGAGAGUGAGGCGCCGGCCGAAAGUGGUGUGGAAGACGAGUCCGCCCCAUCAAAGCCUCAUGUGGAAUUCAGCUCUACUGUACUUGUGGAAGCACCCACAGACAACCCACCUAACAUUGCUGUGAAGAUUCGCAAACGCGGCAAGGAUCCUAAAAUUAAGCCGAUUUUAAUAAAUAAAGAGGAUCCAAGCUGCGUUAGCGAUCCGAGCGCGGCGGCCACCCCCUGUGCAGACGUUUCUAACCAUUUUGAGGAAAUGCAUCCCAAGGAUGAGUUCGAGUUGUUGCAAUCUUCAUUAGAAAAAGUAUCAGAGAAAAAAGACGAUGUCGCAGAGAAGAAAGAAGGCAAACCGCCGAAGCAGUCGAAGGGCGCCAAGGCUGCACAGAAGCAAACUUCAGAACCUUUAAAGGAGGAAUCUUCAUCUGAAAAACAAAUCAUCAGCGAGGCACCUCUUGAACAACGCAAAGGAAAGAAAGGCGAGAAGAAGGUAGUUUCAGAGGCGUCGGAGGUAGAAGAGGUGGUGCCGCCUCUCAACGCGCCGCAGCCGAGCGAGCUCACCACCGACAAGCUGCUGCGGCAGGCGCUGCAGCCCGUCGCGCCUACUCCCUCCCCGCCCACCAAGUCUAAGAAGAAGAAGGCUGACCAGGACAUGCUCUCACUCCUGGGCGGCGAAGGCAGCGUGGCGUUCGGCGACCUGCUGCGCGUGGUGCGCGCCGCCACGCUCUCGCGCGACGAGAUCCAGGGCCUCACCGACGCGCUGCUCAACAAACACCACGACCCUCUGCCCGCGCACUCCGAGUGGACCGAGGGUCCCAAUGAUCCAAUGCAAAAGUUGAAGAAGCAGUUGGCUGAUAAAGAAAAAUCUCUGACUGACGAGUUGGAAGCCUCGAAAGCCCUCAAGGCCAAAGUUCAAGAGCUCCGUGCUAACCUGAACGCGGAGCGCGCGGCGGCGAGCACGGCGCGCGCCGAGCUGCACACGCAGCAGACGCGCCUGCAGCGCCUGCUCGAGGAGCACCACGCGCUCGUGCUGGAGAAGAACACGCUUAUGGGACAAAUCAGUGAAAGUGAAGCUCAAGUUUCGCGGAUGGAUUUACUUAUUCAAAGGCUUUCUGAGUCGGAGGUAGCGCUGCGCGCGGAGCUGACGGCGUGCGUGGUGGAGGCGGGGCAGACGCGCGACGACGCCGUGCUGGCGCACCAGCACAACGCCGAGCUGGCGCAGCAGCUGCAGGAGGCGACGCUGGCGCUGGCCGAGCUGGAGCAGCAGCGCCAGUUCGCCGCGCACAGCGACCAGCGCGCGCAGCAGGAGCUGCGACAGACGCAGGCGCGCCUCGCGGGAUUCAAUGAACUCCAAAACGAUUUGCAACGUAUGACCGCCAGAGCGCAGGCUGCCGAAAGUAACAUAGAAAAGCUUAAUGAGGAAAUCCAAAAACAAAAGGACGAGCUAACUAAGGAGGUGGCAUCUCUCAGAGAACAGUUGGCCGAACGCGAGGCCGAGCUCGCUGAACUGAAGCAACUGAAGGCGGCGCCCGCACAAAAUGGACUGCCUGCCAAUACCAUUAACGACGAGCACAAGGCAGCGGAGCUUGCAAAGGUGGAAAGCACCGUGGAGUCCCUAAGGAACGAGCUGGUCUCUGCACAGGAGAGCAUCUCUGAGCAGAAGAACCAGGUCGCCAGUCUUCAGGAACAGCUGCUGCAGUACCGGGACAAGAACAAUGAGUUGCGAACUAAAAACUGGAAAGUAGUGGAGGCGUUACAAACCGCCGAAAAGGCUCUCGCGACAAGAGUGGCGCCCGCGAUGCCGGCCCGAGACGCGCUUGCCGAGGCAGUAGUCAAAGCUCAAGAACAACAUUUCAUAGAAGUAGCGAACGUUCUACGCGCAGUAUGCCCCACAGCUGCACCGAACUCAUCUAUAGGACAAGAGUGGCUACAGGCUUUUGCCGAGAACCUCAAACAGGAACUCUCAAAGAAAGAGAAUGAGAAGCAACUAGUCGAAAAGGACUUCGCAUCGAAACUGUUACAAAAGGAAAACGAGAGAAAACAAAUAGAAAUCGAAAUGCAGAAAAAACUUCAAGAAAAGGAACAGGCAGUGAAAGAACUCGAGAACAAAAUGCAACAACAGUUAAAAGACAAGGAGUUAGCGUGUAAAACUAUUGAAAGCGAGUUACAAAAGAAGCUGCAAGAUGAACUGGCCGCAAAGAAACAGUCUGAAAGUGAAUUACUGAAUAAACUGCAAGAAGAAUUGAAUAUAAAGAAGAAACUGGAAAGUGAAUUGCAGAAGAAAGAAGUUAAAGAGGUCACAGUUCAGCAUACAGUGGUGGACGACUCGCGAGUCAAAGAUUUGGAAAGCCAGAAUGUAUAUCUACAGAGACAAGUGGAAAAAUACAAGACCAUCAUCGAUGACACUGAGGAUGUAUUGAGCCGGCUGCAGCAGAAAGUAUCCAGCGAAGAGGAUCGCUGGCAGAAGGAACUGGCCAGCAGGCAGAAUGAUCUUGAGACGCUGCGGCUGCGCACCGUGCAACAGAUGCAAAAUAAAAUAGAUUCACUGCAAGCAGAAUUACAAAAAUCACAAACAAGGAACCACAGUCACAGCUUCGCGGACGCUGAAAGAACUGCUGAGGAAAAUCUAAUGGCGGGUUUUGCCAAUCAUGACACAGAAGUACACAACGGGCCACUACAGGUGAGACUGAGGACGGGACAGCGGCAAACCUUGCAGGAUUGGGCGUCUCAAUAAAAAAAGCAAAAUUUUGUAGUAAUUUUCAUUAUACCUAUGUACGUUUACAGUUGGCUAAAGAACAGAUAAAGUUGAGCGAAAUUUAACAAACACAAAGUGCAAUGUACAACGCAGUUUAAGGCUGGAAUUUACCGUCGCGUCUCCUCAUUCACUGCCGAAUAAUCGAUAAGAUUAACCCUUACCAGGGUGUCCUGUAAAUUGUGUUUUUUCCAAAAAAAAAACUGUGAAUUCUACAUAUUUAGAAUCGAAACACUGAAAAUCGGUGCGACAUACACUGAAAACGCGCAAAAAAACUCAAAAAAAAAUUAAUUAUAACAACAGUUGGUUAAGGAAUCACAUUGAUUGAGGUCAGAUUUUUAAAUUAAAUGGCUCUUAACCGGACACCCUGUUAAGUGAACCCUGUUUUUAUAAGACAUGUUAAAUAUUUUUAAUAGAAAAUGCACUCAAUGAAAUGGGUGUUAAAACUUCUGUUAAAUUUCAACUCUGUUGAUUGAUUGGGAUUUCCGAUUGCUAAAAAUUUCCCAGCCCACUUGUAAAUAAUACCAACAAGGAAUGGUAAAAUAUAUGAAGAGAUUCAUCGGAAAACUCAUUUUUACUAUUCAAUUUUUUACUAGAAAGACUAGCUGAUUAGUGAUUAAAAUCACAUAAUUAUUCGUAAAUAUCAUUUCAAUUGUGCUCAAGGGAAAUAAGUUCAUUUUUAGACUUUCGAUCCUUUCAAAUUACUGGGUAAAAUUUGUAAAAUUAUUACACCAUCUGUUUAUAGAUAUUAUAUAUUUUAAUCCAUUUUUGUUUGUGUUCUGACCAGUGGUACUAGUAUCAUCACAUUGUAUGGCCAUAUGAUAAUUUAUUUAACCGCCUCUUUUUUU